This 301-nucleotide ribosomal RNA is filed under the name uncultured bacterium. RNAcentral describes it as "partial 16S ribosomal RNA". It matches the Rfam family "Bacterial small subunit ribosomal RNA", at positions 509 to 807 of the family's 1533-position model. The record is from RNAcentral.
CAGUCGCCGCGGUAAUACAGAGGGUGCGAGCGUUAAUCGGAUUUACUGGGCGUAAAGCGUGCGUAGGCGGCUUUUUAAGUCGGACGUGAAAUCCCUGAGCUUAACUUAGGAAUUGCAUUCGAUACUGGGAAGCUAGAGUAUGGGAGAGGAUGGUAGAAUUCCAGGUGUAGCGGUGAAAUGCGUAGAGAUCUGGAGGAAUACCGAUGGCGAAGGCAGCCAUCUGGCCUAAUACUGACGCUGAGGUACGAAAGCAUGGGGAGCAAACAGGAUUAGAUACCCGCGUAGUCCCUGUCUCUUAUAC